GAAGCGGCAACAGCUCAAAUUUGAAAUCUGGCCCCUCUGGGGUCCGAGUUGUAAUUUGUAGAGAGUGCUUCGGGUGACACCGCGGUCUAAGUUCCUUGGAACAUGGCGUCAUAGAGGGUGAGAAUCCCGUAUGUGAUCGUGGCUCGAGCCCGUGUGAAGCCUCUUCGACGAGUCGAGUUGUUUGGGAAUGCAGCUCAAAAUGGGUGGUAAAUUUCAUCUAAAGCUAAAUACUGGCUGGAAACCGAUAGCGCACAAAUAAAGUGAUCGAAAGAUGAAAAGCACUUUGGAAAGAGAGUCAAAAAGUACGUGAAAUUGUUGAAAGGGAAGCGCUUGCAACCCGACCUGCCCGUAGGCGAUCAGCCGCUGUUCUCAGCGGUGCACUCGCUCUGCGAUCAGGCCAGCAUCGGUUUUGGCGGUCGGAUAAAGGCCUUGGGAAUGUAGCUUCCCUUCGGGAGAGUCUUAUAGCCCUCGGUGCAAUGCGGCCAGCCGAGACCGAUGACCGCGCUUCGGCUAGGAUGCUGGCGUAAUGGUUGUAAGCGACCCGUCUUGAAACACGGACCAAGGAGUCUAUUAUCGAUGCGAGGGUUUGGGUGUCAAACCCAUGCGCGAAAUGAGAGUGAACGGAGGUGAGAAUCCUUAGGGGCGCAUCAUC
Molecule: ribosomal RNA, 652 nt
Filed under: Myelochroa metarevoluta
Lineage: Eukaryota; Fungi; Ascomycota; Lecanoromycetes; Lecanorales; Parmeliaceae
Description: eukaryotic LSU rRNA
Rfam family: Eukaryotic large subunit ribosomal RNA
Source: RNAcentral